RNAcentral lists this long non-coding RNA (392 nucleotides) under Phascolarctos cinereus (koala). RNAcentral describes it as "lncRNA (ENSPCIG00000036356.1)". Lineage: Eukaryota; Metazoa; Chordata; Mammalia; Diprotodontia; Phascolarctidae. The record is from RNAcentral.
AUGUUCAGUGCCCAGUGGCAGGGGGAGCUUUUCCACUGGGAAGAAGUUGCUCCUCUCUGUCUUGGGCAUGCUGUUUCUUGUGGCUUUGCUGGAUUAUGGCCUCAGAGCCUCAGGCUGCAGGGUAUGGGUGGUUGUCCUGCCCACUUUGAGCAUGACCCGCACUUGGAGCAAGGAGGUGUUUUAUCUGUGCCCUCCGUGGUCACAGACAAGAACACACAGGGUGGUCCUCCCGGGAUGAUCCCAGAAGGCCUGGACUCUUGGUCAGGAGCCACGCCAUUCCUCAGCCCAUACUGUGAGAUAAAGUCCACCUCAGAAAUGAUGACACCACAAGCUGAAGGUCACCAAGGUCUGUCUGCAGGCAACCUGUCUGUAGAGCAUCCUGCUCGUCAUUC